CUAAUGAUAUCUGAGGACAGAAGUCUCUCUGAGUAGAAAGAAAGAUCCUGAAGGAAAAGCUUGUCUGGCAUGUUGCGUAGCAGCAGGGAGGAAGGUAUGACUGGAACAUAAAGAAUUGUACGGAGAGUGGUAAGAGUUGAGGACCGAAGCAAAGAGGGGUGGGGGGUACAGUGAGUCAUUGUGGGUUACAAGGGGUAUCAGUGGCUUAAGCUUGCCCUUAAAGGAAGGAUGUAGUUAGAUCACUAAAGGGAGCGGAAGGCAGUUCUGGUAGAGAGAACAUCCUGAGACUUUGCUCAUACUCACAGAACUACACAGCAAAGCGUGUUCAGGAAACGGCGUCUAGACAGGUGUGAUGGAAGCAGAGCAUUCGUGCGUGAGGGAAGAACAGCACACGGAGAAUAUAAAAGAGUCUUCCUAGCUCUGCCUAACUCCUGCAUUGACCACCCACAUAACGUGAUGUGCACCAUCUAGAAGCUGGUCUACUACGCUGCGCAGCUGGACUCCAUGACUGAGAGGGGGAAAAAGGCAGUAAAGGGAUGAACUCAAGCACUGGCCUCAAAUGAAUGAUGACCAUCUAACAGUCCGCAAAGUCUUCACUUACCUCCAAAACAUUUUCCUGAUUUGGGUCCAAAAUAAAUUCAAAGGUCUCAUUCCA
This is a long non-coding RNA of Pteropus alecto (black flying fox), 655 nucleotides long. RefSeq lists it as uncharacterized. The record is from RefSeq and is a predicted model, not a curated record. The transcript is spliced from 2 exons. NCBI's taxonomy places the organism in Eukaryota, Metazoa, Chordata, Mammalia, Chiroptera, Pteropodidae.